AACGAACGCUGGCGGCGCGCCUAAUACAUGCAAGUCGAGCGAGAAGACGUAGCAAUACGUUUGUAAAGCGGCGAACGGGUGAGGAAUACAUGGGUGACCUACCCUCGAGUGGGGAAUAACUAGCCGAAAGGUUAGCUAAUACCGCAUACGAUUCCUGGAUUGCGGUUCGGGAAGGAAAGCGAUACCGUGGGUAUCGCGCUCAUGGAUGGGCUCAUGUCCUAUCAGCUUGUGGUGAGGUAACGGCUCACCAAGGCUUCGACGGGUAGCUGGUCUGAGAGGACGAUCAGCCACACUGGCACUGCGACACGGGCCAGACUCCUACGGGAGGCAGCAGUAAGG
This 339-nucleotide ribosomal RNA is filed under the name uncultured bacterium. RNAcentral's name for it is "bacterial SSU rRNA". It matches the Rfam family "Bacterial small subunit ribosomal RNA", at positions 29 to 359 of the family's 1533-position model. The record is from RNAcentral.